CCUCCUUUCUUUGCAUACUCGUUGUUUUCCCGUACACGCAUGUGUAUGUGAUGGAGGAAUAUGAAAGUCCAGUGCUAUGUCUUCGGUGCCAAAAAAAAAGCAACCAUCUUCUGGUUCUAUCCUCAAUCUCUGGCACAUUC
Small nucleolar RNA from Siniperca chuatsi (mandarin fish), 140 nucleotides. RefSeq annotates it as small nucleolar RNA SNORA57. Lineage: Eukaryota; Metazoa; Chordata; Actinopteri; Centrarchiformes; Sinipercidae. The transcript has a single exon. The record is from RefSeq and is a predicted model, not a curated record.